UACGAAGGGGGCUAGCGUUGUUCGGAAUUACUGGGCGUAAAGCGCACGUAGGCGGAUUUGUAAGUCAGGGGUGAAAUCCCGGGGCUCAACCUCGGAACUGCCUUUGAUACUGCAAGUCUCGAGUCCGAUAGAGGUGAGUGGAAUUCCUAGUGUAGAGGUGAAAUUCGUAGAUAUUAGGAAGAACACCAGUGGCGAAGGCGGCUCACUGGAUCGGUACUGACGCUGAGGUGCGAAAGCGUGGGGAG
RNAcentral lists this ribosomal RNA (245 nucleotides) under uncultured bacterium. Its description in RNAcentral is "partial 16S ribosomal RNA". It matches the Rfam family "Bacterial small subunit ribosomal RNA", at positions 524 to 768 of the family's 1533-position model. The record is from RNAcentral.